This 760-nucleotide long non-coding RNA is filed under the name Olea europaea subsp. europaea. Lineage: Eukaryota; Viridiplantae; Streptophyta; Magnoliopsida; Lamiales; Oleaceae. The record is from RNAcentral.
CUUAAACCUCGCUCGAGCGACAGUGCAAGGUUUUGAACUAUAACUUCAUUUCUCGCGUUUCCAAUUUGCAAAUUCUCCAAGUUCUUCACAAAUUUCACACAAUCCUCUGAAAUUUCUUCUGCUCAUAUUGUUAAUUGGGUGUUCCGACGUUCUAACACAUCAUUUCAACAUCAAUAUUCCAAUUUUUUAACUUCAAUUGAGGUAAAAUUUCCAUGUUUUUUUAUGUUUUUUUCGUUUUUUUUCUUUUACUCAUCUCUUCCCAUUUUGUUUGAUUCAUUGCUUCUAUUACAUGAGUUCAUAGCCUCUAGCAUGUUUAGCAUCGUUGGAUUGAAGUUUCUUGCACAUUGAAUUCAUGUAUUACAUAGCAUUGUGUGAUUUUUAUUUGAUUUGUGCUUGUAUUUUACCUAUGUUUUGUGUGAUUUUCAUCCAUGUUCAUCGCGUUGGUUCUUGCAUUCCGUAAAUCCGAUUUGCAUGCCGUUUGUUUCAUAUUGUUCGGGAUGUUACCUAGUUUGUGGUUGUGUGAUUGGGUACGGGGUUACGUCUCUUGCGUGCCUGGAAAGUUGUGCCAAAGAACCGCACGCCACAUGCUCGAUGAAAUGCCUUAGUCUAUUUAGGUUUGAUUUUUUACAUGUUUUGUUGUUUCCCUUUUUGCAUGGUUCUUCUUCAUGGUGUUUGUGCAUGGUUUCUUGGUCGGGUGUCGAGACAGGCUAUUUAUGCUCGUAGGGUCGUUUCGCGUUUUUCGUUACAUCUUUGUUUGAGG